CCUGGGGAGUACGGCCGCAAGGCUAAAACUCAAAGGAAUUGACGGGGGCCCGCACAAGCGGCGGAGCAUGCGGAUUAAUUCGAUGCAACGCGAAGAACCUUACCAAGGCUUGACAUAUACCGGAAACGGCCAGAGAUGGUCGCCCCGCAAGGUCGGUAUACAGGUGGUGCAUGGUUGUCGUCAGCUCGUGUCGUGAGAUGUUGGGUUAAGUCCCGCAACGAGCGCAACCCUCGUCCUAUGUUGCCAGCACGUAAUGGUGGGAACUCAUGGGAUACUGCCGGGGUCAACUCGGAGGAAGGUGGGGAUGAGGUCAAAUCAUCAUGCCCCUUAUGUCUUGGGCUUCACGCAUGCUACAAUGGCCGGUACAAUGGGCUGCGAUACCGCAAGGUGGAGCGAAUCCCAAAAAGCCGGUCUCAGUUCGGAUUGAGGUCUGCAACUCGACCUCAUGAAGUCGGAGUCGCUAGUAAUCGCAGAUCAGCAACGCUGCGGUGAAUACGUUCCCGGGCCUUGUACACACCGCCCGUCAAGUCAUGAAAGUCGGUAACACCCGAAGCCA
This 556-nucleotide ribosomal RNA is filed under the name Agrococcus sp. m8-43. RNAcentral describes it as "bacterial SSU rRNA". It matches the Rfam family "Bacterial small subunit ribosomal RNA", at positions 872 to 1429 of the family's 1533-position model. Lineage: Bacteria; Bacillati; Actinomycetota; Actinomycetes; Micrococcales; Microbacteriaceae. The record is from RNAcentral.